Molecule: long non-coding RNA, 262 nt
Filed under: Phoenix dactylifera (date palm)
Lineage: Eukaryota; Viridiplantae; Streptophyta; Magnoliopsida; Arecales; Arecaceae
Description: long non-coding RNA (PDAC_LNC016283)
Source: RNAcentral
UUGCAUUAGCCUAGAAUCAUUCUUCUGCCCAAAGGUGAUGGUGUUUCGAAAGCUGAUGUGAUUUUGUUAAUUAGCUUCAUGAUAUGUUUUAAGAGUACUUUAUAGCGUGUUGUGUUGUUAGCCCAAAGGCGACUCUACAAUGAUGCACCGAGGCUCUUACCGUAAUUAGACUUAUAUGUUUUUUUUUUCAAGUUGAUUACGGACUAUCUAAUUAAUAGCCCAAGUUGAUUAGAUAGAUAUGUUAUCAUCCAUUGAUUGCAUG